RNAcentral lists this small RNA (421 nucleotides) under Pongo abelii (Sumatran orangutan). Its description in RNAcentral is "retained intron". Lineage: Eukaryota; Metazoa; Chordata; Mammalia; Primates; Hominidae. The record is from RNAcentral.
GCCAGCGCUCUGCCCUACGUCCUCACCGACAUCGCGGCCUCGUUCACCCUGCUGGUUGGCAUCUACUUCCCUUCCGUGACGGGUAUCAUGGCGGGUUCAAACCGGUCCGGGGACCUCAAGGAUGCGCAGAAGUCCAUCCCCACAGGGACCAUCCUGGCCAUAGUGACCACGUCUUUCAUCUAUCUCUCCUGCAUUGUGCUGUUUGGGGCCUGCAUCGAAGGCGUGGUCUUACGAGAUAAGUACGUUUCCACCUGCAGUUUUCCUGCAAAGCCUGUAGUCUUCACAGGUUUUCUUGAGGACGAAUUCGGCUUUGAAAUUACAUCGCCCUAGGACUUCAUGUCCGUGUGCAGAGCUGAAGGCAUCCUGGUCCCAGGGUUGGGAUCCCUUGGUCUGAUGUGUCAUCUCUUCCACUGGAGCCUAG